AGGUUCCAGAGGAGGCCGAGCACCACCACGGGGAGGUAGCAGCCCCAAUCGGCAUGCCGUACCUUCAGCUCCGCCUGCGAACCUCCUGUACCAGCAGCAACGGUGGCUCCUGCAUUGAGCUCGCUGGGCCCAUGCCCUCCCUGCUGCAGCAGCCGCGCUGCGUCUUAGAGCGAGCAUGUCCCCAUGAUGUCCUUCGCUGAGUUCAGGAGCAUGUUGCUCGAUGGAGCUCUAUGGAGAUGAAGAAGAUAAACGUUGUAGAAAGCUCAGGGUGAGAACUAGGGAACGGGAAGCAGGGAGGGAAUGAGUGGUGGAGAGCGCACGUUGGCCCAUCGUUUC
RNAcentral lists this long non-coding RNA (336 nucleotides) under Setaria italica (foxtail millet). RNAcentral describes it as "long non-coding RNA (SITA_LNC001544)". The record is from RNAcentral. Lineage: Eukaryota; Viridiplantae; Streptophyta; Magnoliopsida; Poales; Poaceae.